AGAGUGGCGUGAAGGAAAAUUUCUUUGAUGCUUGUUACGAAAAAGUCAAAAAUUUAAGACAUAAAAUGAUCGAGAAGGGUUUAGGGGAUUAGGGUACAUUUUUUACAUAUCUUUCUUGACAUUUUCUUGGAUAUUCAAUUAUGGUUUCUUGUGCCAGAUAAUGAUUGGUCGAUGAUCCUCCCGGCAUGGAAGACACGAGGCUUCCGUUCUUCGAUCUUGAGUUUGGCUUUUAUUACGCGAAGCAUAUUUUUUACGUAAUGCAUCCUAAGCAUGUCACUUGUAAGUAAUACUAAUGAUGACUGACAACUUGACAUCGGAACCCUGGAGAUAACUUUCUGUCUCGAAUGUGGCGUUCGAUGCCCUGACGAAUGCUACGGCCCUGUUCAAUACUAACGGCUAUUGCAGCCAAGCUGUGCCCUCUUUCGACUUCACUAACCACCAUAUACUGUAACAGUCGUUGGCGACAUGCGUCCGGCAAUGAAUUUAAAUGGAAUGUAAAAAUAAAUAAUCUGAGAUUCACAAUCACUGAAGAGGACUUAAAAAAGUUACUCCAAGGAUAUCGACAGUCAUCAAUUUCUCGAUAGAAGAUUCUCAUAUAUUGCAGAGUAACAAUCGACAUACCUCACCGCAAAAUAGUCCCUGGAAGUGAAUCGAAACUCGGUUUCCCGCGUGCGCAGCUACUUAAAUGAUGUCGCUGUUAAUGCGUCAUAUGAGACUAGCUUUUAUAUACACGGAAGGUAAUGUAUUGUACUGUAUUGUACACUCUCUUCCGGAUUGUAAAAAAAAUUCCAGCCAUUUUAUGUGAAGCAUUGAACCAAUCCGACAAAUAAAGUUUUCUUCUUGUUCACAAAGCUAGAAAUGAACAGCAUGAAAGAAAAUAUAUCUCGCAAUGUUAGAUUAGUUUUCAUCAAAUUGUAAAGUUCGAAGGUCAUGUACAUAUAUCUAUGGUCUGAAAUUGAUUAUAUUAAUAAUUUUUCAAUCGUUAAAACCAAAUCUUGGACAGGUACGUUGAGUUUCUUGUAAAGAUCAGAAGUGGAUGUAAUUCUGUGCCUGUCAUGAUGAGAUAAUUAAUAUUGUCUUAAAAACAAUUUGUAAAGAGAUGAAUAAAUCCGAUAGGAGCAAUCCCUCGGAUGUACAGCUAUGUUAAUCAAAUUAUUGGUUUCAAUUUAUACACACAAAUUCAAUUGAUAUCUACGAAUUUUCAGGAAUGUUAUACAACCAGUUUAUGUAAUCCCUGCUACAGUCUAAGGUACAUUCUCUGAAUCUAUAGGUUCACUUUGAUUAAAUUGAUUAUUUGAAAACGUCUAUUCAAAAUGCUGUAACGUUGAACAAUUAUAUUUCUGUGACAUAGAGUAUAUUAAGUAAUAUGACUGAUCAUUCUGUUGUUAAGAUUUUAGCACCUCAUCUUUACUCCAUGCCAGAAUGAUCCGCCCCUGGAGGUGUAGAAUCCGUCAAGGGUUGAGAUCAAUAUGCGCUCAUUGAUUGCACUAUAGCUGCGCUGCGUCGACCCUGUGUCUCUUCCUCGCUUAGUUUUCUGUCUUUACACCGCGUUCCGCUAAACAGUAAACGGGAAGACUUGAUGGUAUCAAUCUACUUGUAUUUCUUACAUAAUUGCCUACAUACUAAUGCUUCGGGUAGACUGUGGACGAAUGUACUGAUAAGGUUCAUUUUCUUAGACACUGUAUUGACCUAGUAGCACAGAAAUCUGAUAGAGUUAUUGAUAAGAGAGAAACGACACGGUUAAAUAGUAAUUCUUUGUUAUAGACUUCCAGUUUUCAAAUACACGAUAACUGUGUUUUUAUGCAUAAUCAGUAGAUAUGAUUUCAGUCUUGUAAUAUGUAUGUACGAUUUAUAUUUGUCGAACGAAAUUUCUAUGACAUGUUUGUGACGUCUUAUAAUGAUCAAUGAUAUCGACGAUAAGUAAUAUGUGGGAGAACAUUUUUUAAAAGAUAAAAGUGUCAAGGGUAAUGAUUUUUAUUUGAGCAUCUAAGGAGCAUCGCGGCGGCUUCUUUAUGCAUCGAUUGCACUUGCAAUCCGUAUCUUGACGUAUGCAGGGCCGUAUGUGUGUACGAGCAAUCAAAUUACUUCCUAUAAAUAGAUCUUGCUCUCUUUCUUCACAUCCUCCUCUGCCAUCUUCAACUGCCUUACCACGGACAUCAUCGUUUUUCUCCUGCGCAGUGUCAAGUGCAUACAAUACACAAAUUUCAAUUCCUUCACAAUGCAAUUCUACUGUUCGAUAAAAUGUAUUAUCGACAUUGUACUAAUAAUGAAGAACUUGAGUUACUAAAGAAUUCUGAUGGUACACACAAAUUUGGAGCAUUGUUGAUCUUAUUAAGCCUAAGUUUGUUAAUAGAGACGCAUUGGAGUAAUACUGUAGUAUAGUAAUAUAGUAGUAAAUACUGAAAGAAUUUAUGUUGCAAUCUGCAUAUUGAAAACGGUAGAUUUUAUAGAAAUUUUUAUUUAAAAAAAUAUAAUAUACAUAAAACAGUUUUAUAUACUUAUGAUUAACAUUUCUAACAUUUUUUAAUGUUUCUGUUAACCAUUACAAGUACAGAAAAAUUGCCGCUGCUUAUUAUGCGAGAAUUGACUAAAUUACUGAUAGCAGUUUGUACAAGGUUUGCAUAUUAAUGUUAUCUAUUGUAAUGCGUUUCUGUAAAGACGUGAAAUUACAGAAAAAUAGUAGAACGUCUCACAGUACUGGAUUUAUUAUUAUGGCUUUUCUUUAAUAAAGCACAAGUAUCAAGCUGA
Long non-coding RNA from Cephus cinctus (wheat stem sawfly), 2748 nucleotides. RefSeq lists it as uncharacterized. The record is from RefSeq and is a predicted model, not a curated record. The transcript has 2 exons. Lineage: Eukaryota; Metazoa; Arthropoda; Insecta; Hymenoptera; Cephidae.